GUGCCUAAUACAUGCAAGUCGAACGCUUCUUAUUAGUGAAGAGUGGCGAACGGGUGAGUAAGACAUAAGUAACCUGGCCUUUACAGGGGGACAACUGCUGGAAACGGCAGCUAAUACCGCAUGGAUAUAACCACCGCAUGGAGGAUAUAUGAAAGCAGCCAAGGCUGCGGUAGAGGAUGGACUUAUGGCGCAUUAGCUGGUUGGUGAGGUAGAGGCUCACCAAGGCGACGAUGCGUAGCCGACCUGAGAGGGUGACCGGCCACACUGGGACUGAGACACGGCCCAGACUCCUACGGGAGGCAGCAGUAGGGAAUUUUCGGCAAUGGGCGAAAGCCUGACCGAGCAACGCCGCGUGAAGGAAGAAGGAAUUCGUUCUGUAAACUUCUGUCAUAGAGGAAGAACGGUAUGUGUAGGGAAUGACACAUAAGUGACGGUACUCUAUAAGAAAGCCACGGCUAACUACGUGCCAGCAGCCGCGGUAAUACGUAGGUGGCGAGCGUUACCCGGAAUUAUUGGGCGUAAAGAGGGAGCAGGCGGCACUAAGGGUCUGUGGUGAAAGCCCGAAGCUUAACUUCGGUAAGCCAUGGAAACCGUAGAGCUAGAGUGUGUGAGAGGAUCGUGGAAUUCCAUGUGUAGCGGUGAAAUGCGUAGAUAUAUGGAGGAACACCAGUGGCGAAGGCGACGAUCUGGCGCACAACUGACGCUCAGUCCCGAAAGCGUGGGGAGCAAAUAGGAUUAGAUACCCUAGUAGUCCACGCCGUAAACGAUGAGUACUAAGUGUUGGGGGUCAAACCUCAGUGCUGCAGUUAACGCAUUAAGUACUCCGCCUGAGUAGUACGUUCGCAAGAAUGAAACUCAAAGGAAUUGACGGGGGCCCGCACGAGCGGUGGAGCAUGUGGUUUAAUUCGAAGCAACGCGAAGAACCUUACCAGGUCUUGACAUCGAUCUAAAAGGGUCAGAGAUGACCUGAUAGCUAUAGAGAAGACAGGUGGUGCAUGUUUGUCGUCAGCUCGUGUCGUGAGAUGUUGGGUUAAGUCCCGCAACGAGCGCAACCCUUAUCCUCAGUAGCCAGCACGUAGAGGUGGGCACUCUGGGGAGACUGCCAGGGAUGACCUGGAGGAAGGUGGGGAUGACGUCAAAUCAUCAUGCCCCUUAUGAUUUGGGCUACACACGUGCUACAAUGGCGUAAACAGAGGGAAGCGAGAGGGUGACCUGGAGCAAAUACCAAAAAUAACGCCCCAGUUCGGACUGUAGUCUGCAACCCGACUACACGAAGCUGGAAUCGCUAGUAAUCGAGGAUCAGAAUGCCGCGGUGAAUACGUU
RNAcentral lists this ribosomal RNA (1323 nucleotides) under uncultured bacterium. RNAcentral describes it as "bacterial SSU rRNA". It matches the Rfam family "Bacterial small subunit ribosomal RNA", at positions 44 to 1372 of the family's 1533-position model. The record is from RNAcentral.